This 1372-nucleotide ribosomal RNA is filed under the name uncultured bacterium. RNAcentral describes it as "bacterial SSU rRNA". It matches the Rfam family "Bacterial small subunit ribosomal RNA", at positions 28 to 1387 of the family's 1533-position model. The record is from RNAcentral.
GAUGAACUCUUUCUACAGGCUUAACACAUGCAAGUCGAGGGGCAUCAAGAAGAAAGCUUGCUUUCUUUGCCGGCGACCGGCGCACGGGUGAGUAACACGUAUCCAACCUGCCCUUUACUCGGGGAUAGCCUUUCGAAAGAAAGAUUAAUACCCGAUAGUAUAAUGAUUCCGCAUGGUUUCAUUAUUAAAGGAUUCCGGUAAAGGAUGGGGAUGCGUUCCAUUAGGUUGUUGGUGAGGUAACGGCUCACCAAGCCUUCGAUGGAUAGGGGUUCUGAGAGGAAGGUCCCCCACAUUGGAACUGAGACACGGUCCAAACUCCUACGGGAGGCAGCAGUGAGGAAUAUUGGUCAAUGGGCGCUAGCCUGAACCAGCCAAGUAGCGUGAAGGAUGAAGGCUCUAUGGGUCGUAAACUUCUUUUAUAUAAGAAUAAAGUGCAGUAUGUAUACUGUUUUGUAUGUAUUAUAUGAAUAAGGAUCGGCUAACUCCGUGCCAGCAGCCGCGGUAAUACGGAGGAUCCGAGCGUUAUCCGGAUUUAUUGGGUUUAAAGGGAGCGUAGGUGGACUGGUAAGUCAGUUGUGAAAGUUUGCGGCUCAACCGUAAAAUUGCAGUUGAUACUGUCAGUCUUGAGUACAGUAGAGGUGGGCGGAAUUCGUGGUGUAGCGGUGAAAUGCUUAGAUAUCACGAAGAACUCCGAUUGCGAAGGCAGCUCACUGGACUGCAACUGACACUGAUGCUCGAAAGUGUGGGUAUCAAACAGGAUUAGAUACCCUGGUAGUCCACACAGUAAACGGAGGAAAUCUUCGCCGUUUUGCGGAUAUACAGUAAGCGGCCAAGCGAAAGCCAUAAAGUAUUCCACCUGGGGAAGUCGCCGGCCAACGGGGAACUCAAAGGAAUUGACGGGGGCCCCGCACAAGCGGAGGAACAUGUGGUUAAUUUCGAUGAUACGCGAGGAACCUUACCCCGGGCUUAAAUUGCAGUGGAAUGAUGUGGAAACAUGUCAGUGAGCAAUCACCGCUGUGAAGGUGCUGCAUGGUUGUCGUCAGCUCGUGCCGUGAGGUGUCGGCUUAAGUGCCAUAACGAGCGCAACCCUUAUCUUCAGUUACUAACAGGUCAUGCUGAGGACUCUGGAGAGACUGCCGUCGUAAGAUGUGAGGAAGGUGGGGAUGACGUCAAAUCAGCACGGCCCUUACGUCCGGGGCUACACACGUGUUACAAUGGGGGGUACAGAAGGCAGCUAGCGGGUGACCGUAUGCUAAUCCCAAAAUCCUCUCUCAGUUCGGAUCGAAGUCUGCAACCCGACUUCGUGAAGCUGGAUUCGCUAGUAAUCGCGCAUCAGCCACGGCGCGGUGAAUACGUUCCCGGGCCUUGCACU